This 72-nucleotide transfer RNA is filed under the name Portunus trituberculatus (swimming crab). RNAcentral describes it as "tRNA-Phe". It matches the Rfam family "tRNA". Rfam says of the family: Transfer RNA (tRNA) molecules are approximately 80 nucleotides in length. Their secondary structure includes four short double-helical elements and three loops (D, anti-codon, and T loops). The record is from RNAcentral. Lineage: Eukaryota; Metazoa; Arthropoda; Malacostraca; Decapoda; Portunidae.
GCCUAGAUAGCUCAGUUGGGAGAGCGUUAGACUGAAGAUCUCAAGGUCCCCGGUUCAAUCCGGGUCUGGGCA